UUUGGAACAACUUUUGUUUUCACACAAAUUUGACUCCAGUUCAAAUUUCGGCUGAAUUUCACAAAGUCCAGAAAAGAGGGGAUAAGGGUCUCCUACAGUGACCCGAUAGGGAUCACCGGCUCCCUGUCCAGCACGGCCGCCGCGCGCGCAGCGCCGCGUGCGCGCGCGCAGGCACGCAGCCUGCCUGCCUGCUAGCGUCGCCAGGCGACGUGGAUGCCUCGGACUUGCUUUCCCCUCCACUUGAGCGCAGCGUGGACGACGCCGUGCACUCCCUCCGUCCUGAGCCAAGGAACCCGACGAGCCCUU
RNAcentral lists this long non-coding RNA (306 nucleotides) under Sorghum bicolor (sorghum). Its description in RNAcentral is "long non-coding RNA (SBIC_LNC002293)". Lineage: Eukaryota; Viridiplantae; Streptophyta; Magnoliopsida; Poales; Poaceae. The record is from RNAcentral.